AAACGUGUUCCGGGGUCGGUGAAAGUCCGAACCGGCGGUGAUAGUCCGCGACCCCCGCGGCCCGCAUGGGCCAACGGGUUGACUCGGUGAAAUUCCGAGACCGACAGUCAAAGUCUGGAUGGGAGGCAACACGCUU
This 136-nucleotide non-coding RNA is filed under the name Tessaracoccus lapidicaptus. RNAcentral's name for it is "FMN sequence". It matches the Rfam family "FMN riboswitch aptamer (RFN element)". From Rfam's summary of the family: The RFN element is a highly conserved domain that is found frequently in the 5'-untranslated regions of prokaryotic mRNAs that encode for flavin mononucleotide (FMN) biosynthesis and transport proteins. This element is a metabolite-dependent riboswitch that directly binds FMN in the absence of proteins. Lineage: Bacteria; Bacillati; Actinomycetota; Actinomycetes; Propionibacteriales; Propionibacteriaceae. The record is from Rfam by way of RNAcentral.